RNAcentral lists this ribosomal RNA (388 nucleotides) under uncultured bacterium. RNAcentral's name for it is "bacterial SSU rRNA". It matches the Rfam family "Bacterial small subunit ribosomal RNA", at positions 30 to 414 of the family's 1533-position model. The record is from RNAcentral.
AUUGAACGCUGGCGGCAGGCCUAACACAUGCAAGUCGAACGGUAGCACAGAGAGCUUGCUCUCGGGUGACGAGUGGCGGACGGGUGAGUAAUGUCUGGGAAACUGCCUGAUGGAGGGGGAUAACUACUGGAAACGGUAGCUAAUACCGCAUAACGUCGCAAGACCAAAGAGGGGGACCUUCGGGCCUCUUGCCAUCAGAUGUGCCCAGAUGGGAUUAGCUAGUAGGUGGGGUAACGGCUCACCUAGGCGACAAUCCCUAGCUGGUCUGAGAGGAUGACCAGCCACACUGGAACUGAGACACGGUCCAGACUCCUACGGGAGGCAGCAGUGGGGAAUAUUGCACAAUGGGCGCAAGCCUGAUGCAGCCAUGCCGCGUGUAUGAAGAAGG